UUGGCAUAGUUUUUUGUAAAUGCUCUCUUUCUGGCCAUAUGAUAAGUGGUUUCAUACGAAUAAACAUGACAUCAAUGACAUCAUUGACUAUCCUAGAAGCAGUUGCUAUUGAUAUGUUAAAUGCAUAUGACAGGAAGGUCGUGGAAACAUUAAGCCUAAGGCGCAUCAGUGUCAGCAUCAACUGCUUAAACUUAUCAAGUGACUUCUUCACAGGGAGGUGGGGACUAAGGAAUGUGAAGAGUACCAACAGUAUGUGGUAGGCCAGUGAAAAAUAAAACCUUUUCAUCAUUAUCAACAAAUGCACUUUGGUCAUAGGUAGUGGACAAAUGUGCAACAUCAGAGCACAACUGGAUGUUUUCAGUUCUAAGAUUUUGAAGUUUGCUGGUCAUAGCCUCAAUUAAAUCACCAGUCAAUUCACUUUGAGUCUCUGUGCUGCACAAAUUGCUGCUGAUAUAACCACUUGUAGUAGGGUCAUCAGUCUCAGAAUCAUCAGUCUCUGCAGCAACUCCAGCACCAGCAGCAGCAUCAGCAGCAGCUUCUCUCAGUCUCUGCUGGGUUCUAUUCCCACGACGGCUGUAGCGUGAUGAUGUCCCAGCUUUUUCAGGAGACCUUUGCUGACCUGUCAUUCCGACAGAUGGCACCCAAUCUGGGUCAUCCUUUUGAUAAAGGUCAGACCUUGUACCUGGAAUACAAUGAGAAAUACAGCACAUUGUAGCUCUACAUUUUAAGAACUGUGUUGCUACUGUAGCAGGCUAUUAAAUAUGAUCCUAAUCAGAUAUUAAGUCAAUAAUGCAACAUAAAAACAUGUCACUUACCUGACAAGAAAUGGGCCGAACAAAUUCGGACGUUGUCCAGAUUUUUGCCACGUAGAUCCUGGUUCAGCUUCGCUAACCACAAGCGCCUCCUUUCCUCUGACAACUUUUGGCAUUGUUCUCCUUGAUUAGUUAUAACUUUUGGCAGUCUGUAAUACUCCAAAUGUUUUUCGCGGUCUGACCGAUUGGUACAGCCAAAAACAAGGCAAUAAUUUACCAUUUUCCACGAAGAUAUUCGGGCUUCGAGCACGAAGCUGCGGCGUGCGCUUUAUUUACCUUGGCGUGCGGUUUAUUUACCUUGCCGAGUACCUCCAACAUGGCGACUGCCGGAUUGAUGACGCGCUGAUGACGCGCCGUGAAAACCCUCUAUAAUAAUUUAGGUCACCAUAGCAACGCCGGUAAACAAACCCCGCCGAAUAGUCGAAUCUCUGGACUGAAAAGGCAGAUCUGAUUCGACUCAGAAAAUUCAGAGUCGGGGACCCUGAAUGAUUCGGUAAACUGGCAGUUUACACAGAUUAAGAUGUUCAAAUGUAUUUAAAAAAGGUUAAGCUAAAACAUGCUUAGAUAAAGUUGUUAAAUUGUGUUGUUUAAAAACCAAAAAGAUGUUGUAAUGUUUCAGAAAUAUGUUUAAAAAAUAUGUUAAAAAUUUGUUUCAAAUGUUUCAAAAAUAUGUUACAAAUGUUUUAAAAUUAUGAUCGGAGAUGUUUGAAAUGUGUAAAAUAAUUAAAAUAGCUUUCAAAACACAGGUAUUUAGAAAAAAAAAUUGGGGGGGGGGCUCAGCUGAAUUUUUUUCUCUGAGGGGGGGCUCACUCUCUCACACUUUGAAAACCCCUGGUUUAGACUAUUGUUUAGAGAAUUUAGGCAACAAUUCUAGGUUUUGUUUUG
Long non-coding RNA from Gadus morhua (Atlantic cod), 1697 nucleotides. Lineage: Eukaryota; Metazoa; Chordata; Actinopteri; Gadiformes; Gadidae. The record is from Ensembl.